This 358-nucleotide ribosomal RNA is filed under the name uncultured bacterium. Its description in RNAcentral is "bacterial SSU rRNA". It matches the Rfam family "Bacterial small subunit ribosomal RNA", at positions 8 to 353 of the family's 1533-position model. The record is from RNAcentral.
AGAGUUUGAUCAUGGCUCAGGAUGAACGCUAGCUACAGGCUUAACACAUGCAAGUCGAGGGGAAACGACAUCGAAAGCUUGCUUUUGUAUGGGCGUCGACCGGCGCACGGGUGAGUAACGCGUACUCCAACCUGCCCACCACUUGGGGAUAACCUUGCGAAAGUAAGACUAAUACCCAAUGAUAUCUCUAGAAGACAUCUGAAAGAGAUUAAAGAUUCAUCGGUGAUGGAUGGGGAUGCGUCUGAUUAGCUUGUUGGCGGGGUAACGGCCCACCAAGGCAACGAUCAGUAGGGGUUCUGAGAGGAAGGUCCCCCACAUUGGAACUGAGACACGGUCCAAACUCCUACGGGAGGCAGCA